AAUUUUCUCUCCCAUCACACUGGGGUGGGGAGUGAUCAAAUAGCUGUGUGGCGUUUAACUGCCUUCCAAGUUAAACCACAGCACCUGGUAUUGAUAGUGGAAAUUUUCACAUUUUCUUCUAAACAUUACUGUUUAAUUGGGGUCAUGGUAGUGAGUAAGUCAUUAAGAAGUGAAUGGGGAGAUUAGUGCAUGUCUAAAGUGAGAUUAGAAUGAAAUAAGGAUUAGCAAGCUAAGAAAAGUUACAGUAGGACUGUAGACCCAGAAUAGGAUUCACAACUUCUACCUUGCAGUGAAGAUAAGAUUAAACUCAGUAUGCCUGUGCAUUUCAUAACUGAAGAAAGAAAAGGAGGAAACCUCAAAUACAGAUAAAGAAGUGAAGAUGAGCUUCCAAGAUGUGGAAUGGACAAAAACAGCAUAAGAAAUUGUUCACUGUACAAGAAAGAAGAUGUGGUGGUUACCCACUGCAGAACUGAGAACUGGUUGGCUACAUCUAUCCCCAGACUACCUUACUGAUGAGUAUGCCUACUACCAUAUGCAAGAACAAGAUUUUGUGAUGAGUAAGUGCACUUUCUUCUGAGCAGAUGAACGAUUAUCACAGUGACAGCUGGGCACCUUCCUAAAAGCUACAAAAAUAAAAUAAAAUCACUCAGACUGUUUCUA
Molecule: long non-coding RNA, 660 nt
Organism: Anas platyrhynchos (mallard)
Lineage: Eukaryota; Metazoa; Chordata; Aves; Anseriformes; Anatidae
Source: RefSeq, a predicted model, not a curated record